RNAcentral lists this ribosomal RNA (548 nucleotides) under uncultured bacterium. RNAcentral describes it as "partial 16S ribosomal RNA". It matches the Rfam family "Bacterial small subunit ribosomal RNA", at positions 355 to 895 of the family's 1533-position model. The record is from RNAcentral.
UGGGGAAUUUUGGACAAUGGGCGAAAGCCUGAUCCAGCAAUGCCGCGUGUGUGAAGAAGGCCUUCGGGUUGUAAAGCACUUUUGUCCGGAAAGAAAUCCUUGGCUCUAAUACAGUCGGGGGAUGACGGUACCGGAAGAAUAAGCACCGGCUAACUACGUGCCAGCAGCCGCGGUAAUACGUAGGGUGCAAGCGUUAAUCGGAAUUACUGGGCGUAAAGCGUGCGCAGGCGGUUUGCUAAGGCCGAUGUGAAAUCCCCGGGCUCAACCUGGGAACUGCAUUGGUGACUGGCAGGCUAGAGUAUGGCAGAGGGGGGUAGAAUUCCACGUGUAGCAGUGAAAUGCGUAGAGAUGUGGAGGAAUACCGAUGGCGAAGGCAGCCCCCUGGGCCAAUACUGACGCUCAUGCACGAAAGCGUGGGGAGCAAAACAGGAUUAGAUACCCUGGUAGUCCACGCCCUAAACGAUGUCAACUAGUUGUUGGGGAUUCAUUUCCUUAGUAACGUAGCUAACGCGUGAAGUUGACCGCCUGGGGAGUACGGUCGCAAGAUU